This 2898-nucleotide ribosomal RNA is filed under the name Clostridioides difficile. RNAcentral describes it as "23S ribosomal RNA". It matches the Rfam family "Bacterial large subunit ribosomal RNA". The record is from RNAcentral. Lineage: Bacteria; Bacillati; Bacillota; Clostridia; Peptostreptococcales; Peptostreptococcaceae.
GGUCAAGUUAUUAAGGGUGCAGGGCGGAUGCCUUGGCACUAGGAGCCGAUGAAGGACGUGAUAAGCUGCGAUAAGCUUCGGGGAGUUGCACGUAAACUUUGAUCCGAAGAUUUCCGAAUGAGGAAACUCACUUAGAGUAAUGUCUAAGUAUCAUUAAGUGAAUACAUAGCUUAAUGAGGGGAACUCAGGGAACUGAAACAUCUAAGUACCUGAAGGAAGAGAAAGAAAUUCGAUUCCGUAAGUAGCGGCGAGCGAACGCGGAUUAGCCCAAACCAAUAAAGUUUUCUUUGUUGGGGUUGCGGACAUAUCAUAACGAAGAGGUAUCGUAAUUGAAGAGGUUUGGAAAGACCCACCACAGAAGGUAAUAGUCCUGUAUGUUAAACGAGAAGACUUCAGAUAUGAUCCAGAGUACCACGGGACACGUGAAACCCUGUGGGAAGCAGGAGGGACCACCCUCCAAGGCUAAAUACUACCUAGUGACCGAUAGCGUAUAGUACCGUGAGGGAAAGGUGAAAAGAACCCCGGGAGGGGAGUGAAAUAGAACCUGAAACCCUGCACUUACAAGCUGUGGAAGCACAUUUCUUGUGUGACCGCGUACUUUUUGUAGAACGGGCCAACGAGUUACGUUAAGUAGCAAGGUUAAGCACUUAAGGUGCGGAGCCGUAGCGAAAGCGAGUUUUAACUGAGCGUUCAGUUACUUGACGUAGACCCGAAACCGGGCGACCUACCCAUGAGCAGGAUGAAGCGAAAGUAAAAUUUCGUGGAGGUCCGAACCCACGAGCGUUGAAAAGCUCGGGGAUGACUUGUGGGUAGCGGUGAAAUUCCAAUCGAGCCCGGAGAUAGCUGGUUCUCCCCGAAAUAGCUUUAGGGCUAGCCUCAAGGUGAGAGAUACGGAGGUAGAGCACUGAAUGUCCUAGGGGGUAUUGCACCUACCGAAGACUAUCAAACUCCGAAUGCCGUCAUCUUAUACUUGGGAGUCAGACUGUGGGUGAUAAGAUUCAUAGUCGAAAGGGCAACAGCCCAGAUCGUCAGCUAAGGUCCCUAAAUGUAAGUUAAGUGGUAAAGGAUGUGGGAUUGCACAGACAACCAGGAUGUUGGCUUAGAAGCAGCCACUCAUUCAAAGAGUGCGUAAUAGCUCACUGGUCGAGUGAUCCUGCGCCGAAGAUUUCCGGGGCUAAAACUUACUACCGAAGCUACGGCAUCAGUAAUGAUGGGUAGGGGAGCUUCCCAUACGGGUUGAAGCAUGACCGUAAGGACAUGUGGACAGUAUGGGAGUGAGAAUGUUGGCAUGAGUAGCGAGAUGUGGGUGAGAAUCCCACAGGCCGUAAACCCAAGGUUUCCAGGGGAAGGUUCGUCCGCCCUGGGUUAGUCGGGACCUAAGCUGAGGCUGAAAGGCGUAGGUGAUGGACAACAGGUUGAUAUUCCUGUACUACCGAUAACCGUUUGAGAGAAGGGAUGACACAGUAGGAUAAGCUAAGCACACUGUUGGUUAUGUGUGCCCAAGCAUUGAGGCAGUCAAAGUAGGCAAAUCCGCUUUGAUAAUGCUGGGAUGUGAUGGGGAGCGAAAUUUAGUAGCGAAGUAGCUGAUUUCACACUGUCAAGAAAAGUCUCUAUCGAGGUUAAAGGUACCCGUACCGCAAACCGACACAGGUGGGUGAGGAGAGUAUCCUAAGGCCAGCGAGAGAACUGUUGUUAAGGAACUCGGCAAAAUGACCCCGUAACUUAGGGAUAAGGGGUGCCACCAUCAGGUGGCCGCAGAGAAUAGGCCCAAGCGACUGUUUACCAAAAACAUAGGUUUCUGCUAAGUCGCAAGACGAUGUAUAGGAGCUGACGCCUGCCCGGUGCUGGAAGGUUAAGGGGAUCUGUUAGAGCAAUCGAAGCAGUGAACUUAAGCCCCAGUAAACGGCGGCCGUAACUAUAACGGUCCUAAGGUAGCGAAAUUCCUUGUCGGGUAAGUUCCGACCCGCACGAAAGGCGUAACGAUUUGGGCACUGUCUCAACAACAGACUCGGUGAAAUUGUAAUUCCGGUGAAGAUGCCGGAUACCUGCGACAGGACGGAAAGACCCCAUGGAGCUUUACUGUAGCUUGACAUUGGGUCUUGGUACUACAUGUACAGGAUAGGUGGGAGGCUUUGAAACCAGGACGCCAGUUUUGGCGGAGCCAUCCUUGGGAUACCACCCUUGUAGUACUGGGACUCUAACCAUAGGCCAUGAAUCUGGUCUUGGGACACUGUCAGGUGGGCAGUUUGACUGGGGCGGUCGCCUCCCAAAAGGUAACGGAGGCGCUCAAAGGUUCUCUCAGUACGGUCGGAAAUCGUACGUAGAGUGUAAAGGCAAAAGAGAGCUUGAUUGCAAGACAUACAGGUCGAGCAAGGAUGAAAAUCGGACUUAGUGAUCCGGUGGUUCUGCGUGGAAGGGCCAUCGCUCAACGGAUAAAAGCUACCCUGGGGAUAACAGGCUUAUCUCCCCCAAGAGUCCACAUCGACGGGGAGGUUUGGCACCUCGAUGUCGGCUCAUCACAUCCUGGGGCUGUAGUAGGUCCCAAGGGUUGGGCUGUUCGCCCAUUAAAGUGGUACGCGAGCUGGGUUCAGAACGUCGUGAGACAGUUCGGUCCCUAUCCGUCGCAGGCGUAGGAAAUUUGAGAAGACCUGUCCUUAGUACGAGAGGACCGGGAUGGACGUACCUCUGGUGUACCAGUUGUUCUGCCAAGGGCAUGGCUGGGUAGCUAUGUACGGAAUGGAUAAGCGCUGAAAGCAUCUAAGCGCGAAGCCAACUUCAAGAUAAGAUUUCCCACCGCAAGGGUAAGACCCCAGAAAGACUAUCUGGUUGAUAGGUCGAAGGUGUAAGUGCAGCAAUGUAUUUAGCUUAUCGAUACUAAUAGGUCGAGGACUUGACCAA